This 274-nucleotide ribosomal RNA is filed under the name uncultured bacterium. Its description in RNAcentral is "partial 16S ribosomal RNA". It matches the Rfam family "Bacterial small subunit ribosomal RNA", at positions 523 to 796 of the family's 1533-position model. The record is from RNAcentral.
AUACGGUGGGGGCUAGCGUUGUUCGGAAUUACUGGGCGUAAAGCGCGCGUAGGCGGAUUGAUCAGUCAGGGGUGAAAUCCCGAGGCUUAACCUCGGAACUGCCUUUGAUACUGUCAGUCUUGAGUUCGAGAGAGGUGAGUGGAAUUCCUAGUGUAGAGGUGAAAUUCGUAGAUAUUAGGAAGAACACCAGUGGCGAAGGCGGCUCACUGGCUCGAUACUGACGCUGAGGUGCGAAAGCGUGGGGAGCAAACAGGAUUAGAUACCCUAGUAGUCC